Molecule: ribosomal RNA, 535 nt
Filed under: uncultured bacterium
Lineage: Bacteria
Description: bacterial SSU rRNA
Rfam family: Bacterial small subunit ribosomal RNA
Source: RNAcentral
AAUAGAUACCCCGGUAGUCCUGGCAGUAAACGGUGCACGUUUGGUGUGGGAGGAUUCGACCCCCUUCCGUGCCGGAGCUAACGCGUUAAACGUGCCGCCUGGGGAAGUACGGUCGCAAGAUUAAAACUCAAAGAAAUUGACGGGGGCCCGCACAAGCGGUGGAGUAUGUGGCUUAAUUCGAUGCAACGCGAAGAACCUUACCUGGCCUUGACAUGUAUCGUGACAAUCUGUGAAAGCAGGUGACUGCCCGCAAGGGUGAUGGGGAUACACAGGUGCUGCAUGGCUGUCGUCAGCUCGUGUCGUGAGAUGUUGGGUUAAGUCCCGCAACGAGCGCAACCCUGUGAACUGUUGCCACCGGCGCAAGCCGAGCACUCUGUUCAGACUGCCCUGUGGAAACGGGGAGGAAGGUGGGGACGACGUCAAGUCAGUAUGGCCCUUACGGCCAGGGCUGCACACGUACUACAAUGCCCACUACAGAAUGAUCCAAAUCCGCGAGGUGGAGGAAAUCUCUAAAAGUGGGCCCAGUUCGGAUUGG